GGUAAUGUGGCUUAAUGGUAGAGUGCUUGCCUUCCAUGCAUGAAGCCCUGGAUUUGAUUCCUCAGUACCC
Molecule: transfer RNA, 70 nt
Filed under: Dipodomys ordii (Ord's kangaroo rat)
Lineage: Eukaryota; Metazoa; Chordata; Mammalia; Rodentia; Heteromyidae
Rfam family: tRNA
About the family: Transfer RNA (tRNA) molecules are approximately 80 nucleotides in length. Their secondary structure includes four short double-helical elements and three loops (D, anti-codon, and T loops). Further hydrogen bonds mediate the characteristic L-shaped molecular structure. tRNAs have two regions of fundamental functional importance: the anti-codon, which is responsible for specific mRNA codon recognition, and the 3' end, to which the tRNAs corresponding amino acid is attached (by aminoacyl-tRNA synthetases). tRNAs cope with the degeneracy of the genetic code in two manners: having more than one tRNA (with a specific anti-codon) for a particular amino acid; and 'wobble' base-pairing, i.e. permitting non-standard base-pairing at the 3rd anti-codon position.
Source: Rfam by way of RNAcentral